AUAUAAUGAGCGAUGAUGAUCCAAAAUAUUACAAUGCAUGGAUAAUGGCUAUGGAUGCAGAACAUAAACCAAGAAGAUUACUUUGUACCUGGCAUAUAGUGAAAAACUGGAACAUACAAGGAAGGUCUAAAAUCAAGAAGUUGGAAAAUAGACAGAUAAUGAAACAUGAAAUAAGGAAAAUUUUAAAGGAGAUUGAUCCACAAAAAUUUAUACAGCUGAAAGAGAACUAUUUUAGGCAAUUAGAAGAAGAGGAGGAAACUAAUUUUCAGAAUUACCUGAAAAAGUACUAUUUCCAAAGUCAAGAGAGAAUAAUGAUGUGGGCACAUUGUUAUAGAAUCAAUGCCGGAAUUAAUACAAAUAUGGCAAUUGAAAGCUUAAAUAAAGUUCUGAAGUACAACAAAAUGAAUGGAAAGCAGAAUAUUAGGAUUGAAAAACUGUUGGAUUUACUGGAUGAACUUGUUGAUGAAAGAAUGUGGAAAAGGAUUAUAAACAUGGAAAGGCCAAAUGCAAAUAAUUAUCAGCACAAAAUAUGUCAGAGUGCACAUAAAAAAGCAGAAGAAAUGGUGGGUAAUAACGGUAAUGUAUCAUAUUCUGAAUUAGGACAUUUUAAGGUAAGGUCGUUUAUAAUCAUAAAUUGUAUUGUGUAAAUUAUAAUGAGGUUUGUGAUGAGGACUGUAGGGCAAUGUAUUGUGAGAAGUGUAAAAUAUGUAAACAUAAAUAUAAUUGUGAUUGUCCAGAAUAUACUGUUAAAAGUGUCAUGUGUAAGCAUAUACAUGCUGUAGCUUUAUUUGAGCAGUUUCAUGGAUGAAAUGCAAGAAGAUAAUAAUCUGUAUGUCAAUGAACCUUCAACAAGCAAGACAGUUUAUGAGGAAGAAGUAAAUCAUUUUCUUGACGAGACUGAAAAUAGAAUGAAUGUGACAAUUGAUUUUGAAAGAAAGCGUGAGAUUUGUCUAGAACAGUUUUGCUCUGAAAUUCGUAAUUAUGGUGGUGGAUUGGGUGAACAUGAUUUAGAAAAAUUUAUGGGUGAUUUUAGAAAUUUUAUGCAGACAGUAAAACAAAAAGAAAUGGUGAUGAGUAAAAAAAGAAAAAUAGAAAAGCAGCAGUAUUAUCUCAACAAAAAACCUAAAUAAAUUUAUUUAUAAUAAAAUGUUUAUAACUAUUUCAUUACUGAAUGACAUUGCUUUUCUGAGUGACCUAUUCUGGUAUUAUAUCUAAGUGGUGUUGGCUAUUUGUAUUCAUGUAAUUCGUUGGCUUAUGGUGAAGGAUACUUACAAAAUAUAUUUUUUUAAUUUUAAUUUUGCCUUUGUUAUAAUUAACUAAUAUAUUAGUGUUUGUUUCAUA
Molecule: long non-coding RNA, 1341 nt
Organism: Anthonomus grandis grandis
Lineage: Eukaryota; Metazoa; Arthropoda; Insecta; Coleoptera; Curculionidae
Exons: 5
Source: RefSeq, a predicted model, not a curated record